UAUAGGAAACCUUGUCUUAAUACGGAACAGUGUUUUAUCCCCCCUGUUCAAACAUAAAAAGGGGGCUCCAGCUACCACUUACGGAAGGACCCGCGGCGCAUUAGCUAGUUGGUGGGGUAACGGCUCACCAAGGCGACGAUGCGUAGCCGACCUGAGAGGGUGAUCGGCCACACUGGGACUGAGACACGGCCCAGAUUCCUACGGGAGGCAGCAGUAGGGAAUCUUCCGCAAUGGACGAAAGUCUGAGGAGCAACGCCGCGUGAACGAUGAAGGUCUUCGGAUCGUAAAGCUCUGUUGUCAGGGAAGAACAAGUACCGUUCGAAUAGUCGU
RNAcentral lists this ribosomal RNA (330 nucleotides) under Bacillus sp. (in: firmicutes). Its description in RNAcentral is "bacterial SSU rRNA". It matches the Rfam family "Bacterial small subunit ribosomal RNA", at positions 147 to 471 of the family's 1533-position model. The record is from RNAcentral. Lineage: Bacteria; Bacillati; Bacillota; Bacilli; Caryophanales; Bacillaceae.